ACCUAUGUUGCCUCGGCGGGCCCCGCGCCCGCCGACGGCCCCCCUGAACGCUGUCUGAAGUUGCAGUCUGAGACCUAUAACGAAAUUAGUUAAAACUUUCAACAACGGAUCUCUUGGUUCCGGCAUCGAUGAAGAACGCAGCGAAAUGCGAUAACUAAUGUGAAUUGCAGAAUUCAGUGAAUCAUCGAGUCUUUGAACGCACAUUGCGCCCUCUGGUAUUCCGGAGGGCAUGCCUGUCCGAGCGUCAUUGCUGCCCUCAAGCCCGGCUUGUGUGUUGGGCCCCGUCCCCCCCGCCGGGGGGACGGGCCCGAAAGGCAGCGGCGGCACCGCGUCCGGUCCUCGAGCGUAUGGGGCUUCGUCACCCGCUCUAGUAGGCCCGGCCGGCGCCAGCCGACCCCCAACCUUUAAU
RNAcentral lists this small RNA (409 nucleotides) under Penicillium sp. 2 MS-2015. Its description in RNAcentral is "eukaryotic LSU rRNA". The stretch from base 94 to 247 matches the Rfam family "5.8S ribosomal RNA". The record is from RNAcentral. Lineage: Eukaryota; Fungi; Ascomycota; Eurotiomycetes; Eurotiales; Aspergillaceae.